This 498-nucleotide ribosomal RNA is filed under the name uncultured bacterium. RNAcentral's name for it is "partial 16S ribosomal RNA". It matches the Rfam family "Bacterial small subunit ribosomal RNA", at positions 28 to 507 of the family's 1533-position model. The record is from RNAcentral.
GACGAACGCUGGCGGCGUGCCUAAUACAUGCAAGUCGAGCGGACCGAACAGGAGCUUGCUCUUGUUCGGUUAGCGGCGGACGGGUGAGUAACACGUGGGUAACCUGCCCGUAAGACCGGGAUAACUCCGGGAAACCGGAGCUAAUACCGGAUAACACCGAAGACCGCAUGGUCUUUGGGUGAAAGGCGGCUUCGGCUGCCACUUACGGAUGGGCCCGCGGCGCAUUAGCUAGUUGGUGAGGUAACGGCUCACCAAGGCGACGUUGCGUAGCCGGCCUGAGAGGGUGAUCGGCCACACUGGAACUGAGACACGGCCCAGACUCCUACGGAGGCAGCAGGAGGGGAUCUUCCGCCAUGGACGGAAGGCUGACGGAGCGACGCCGCGGGAGGGAAGAAGGGCUUCGGAUCGUAAAGAUCUGUUGUUAGGGAAGAAGAAGCGUCGUACGAACAGGGCGGCGCGGUGACGGUACCUAACGAGAAAGCCCCGGCUAACUACGUG